Long non-coding RNA from Mus caroli (Ryukyu mouse), 217 nucleotides. RefSeq lists it as uncharacterized. The record is from RefSeq and is a predicted model, not a curated record. NCBI's taxonomy places the organism in Eukaryota, Metazoa, Chordata, Mammalia, Rodentia, Muridae.
GUUAAGCAUCAGUACUCCCAGGGCUUACGUCUGCCUCUUUAGGAAAUGAAAAACCUAAUGGAUUAGUAACAGAACUGCGAAGAACUGAGAAGACAGCAUGCAUGCCGUGAGUACUCAGCGAUAGCUAUUAGUACCACCGACCUAGAGAUCAUACAACUCAGGAUGUUACCAGGGUCAAGAAGUUCCAGGGUCAAGAUUUGGUUCGUCCUUGGCCUGG